UACGGAGGGUGCAAGCGUUGUCCGGAUUUAUUGGGUUUAAAGGGUGCGUAGGCGGCUUUUUAAGUCAGCGGUGAAAGUCCACAGCUUAACUGUGGGAUUGCCAUUGAUACUGAAGAGCUUGAGUAUAGUUGAGGUAGGCGGAAUUGACAGUGUAGCGGUGAAAUGCAUAGAUAUUGUCAAGAACACCGAUUGCGUAGGCAGCUUACUAAGCUAUAACUGACGCUGAGGCACGAAAGUGUGGGGAUCAAACAGG
This 253-nucleotide ribosomal RNA is filed under the name uncultured Cytophaga sp. RNAcentral's name for it is "partial 16S ribosomal RNA". It matches the Rfam family "Bacterial small subunit ribosomal RNA", at positions 524 to 776 of the family's 1533-position model. The record is from RNAcentral. Lineage: Bacteria; Pseudomonadati; Bacteroidota; Cytophagia; Cytophagales; Cytophagaceae.